CAGUCGCCGCGGUAAUACGGAGGGUGCAAGCGUUAAUCGGAAUUACUGGGCGUAAAGCGCACGCAGGCGGUCUGUCAAGUCAGAUGUGAAAUCCCCGGGCUUAACCUGGGAACUGCAUUUGAAACUGGCAGGCUAGAGUCUUGUAGAGGGGGGUAGAAUUCCAGGUGUAGCGGUGAAAUGCGUAGAGAUCUGGAGGAAUAUCAGUGGCGAAGGCGGCCAUCUGGGACAACACUGACGCUGAGGCACGAAAGCGUGGGGAGCAAACAGGAUUAGAUACCCCUGUAGUCCCUGUCUCUUAUAC
Molecule: ribosomal RNA, 301 nt
Filed under: uncultured bacterium
Lineage: Bacteria
Description: partial 16S ribosomal RNA
Rfam family: Bacterial small subunit ribosomal RNA
Source: RNAcentral